CAUGGCCAAUUCCCAAUUAAAUAUCUGGGAAUAUCGGUUCAUUAUCGACGGCUCACUAUUGCGGAGUGGAGGCAUGUGGAGGAGCGUCUAGAGAAACGGUUGAGCAGUUGGAAAGGAAAGCUGCUCUCAGUUGGAGGACGACUGGUUUUGAUUAACUCCGUCCUCACAAAUAUGGUUCUCUAUAUGCUUUCUUUCUUCCAACUCCCAAAAAGGGUCUUGCAAAGACUGGACUAUUUUAGAUCCAGAUUUUUUUGGCAAGGAGAUGGUGAAAAGAAAAAAUACAGGCUGACCAAAUGGAGCGUGGUUCGUAGGCCGGUAUGUGCUGGAGGAGGAUGA
This 336-nucleotide ribosomal RNA is filed under the name Triticum aestivum (bread wheat). RNAcentral describes it as "partial small subunit ribosomal RNA". The record is from RNAcentral. Lineage: Eukaryota; Viridiplantae; Streptophyta; Magnoliopsida; Poales; Poaceae.